Long non-coding RNA from Symphalangus syndactylus (siamang), 250 nucleotides. RefSeq lists it as uncharacterized. NCBI's taxonomy places the organism in Eukaryota, Metazoa, Chordata, Mammalia, Primates, Hylobatidae. The record is from RefSeq and is a predicted model, not a curated record.
CUACCCUUCCUAGUUGGUACCUGUAGAUGUAAUGCAUCUCCUAAGGUAUUACUCUAGGCUCCAUCGGACAGAACAACUACCUGGAGAGUUUAAGAUGCAAUGGCCAGAAGACAUGAGCGUGUCACUAGAAGGAUGUGGACGUGGGCUCCGGGGCUGUUGAUGAUGACGGUGGUCUUUUGGGGUCAUCAGGGGAAUGGACAAGGCCAAGGUGGUGUGUGCAUGAGAAAGUGCUUAACAUCUGAAAACGGAG